UUUCACUUGUGUACUUAUUCUAUUGUAGAAAAGCAAUGCAAAGGCAUGUGAAUUUACAAGCUACAGAGAGCUAGUACAUUGUGCUGAAUCUGGCGUUGCCUACAGAAGUUGUCGAAAAUCAGCAUGGGAAGAGGAAAAGCAUUUCUGGAUUUUUCAAGCAUGCACAUUCACUGUAGGCAUUGUCGCAAUUAUUGUAACCAUGCUAAGACAGCAUAAAAUGCACCAACAGACAUUGCAGCGCAUACAGAAGCAAAUUGGAGAGUCUCUUAUGUGAUGAUGGAUACUGAAUGAAGGCUGCAUACUUUUACCAUCACCUGAUCUGUACCGUAUAAUACUGAAUAAACAUGUUGUUACUAGAUCUA
This is a long non-coding RNA of Priapulus caudatus, 362 nucleotides long. RefSeq lists it as uncharacterized. NCBI's taxonomy places the organism in Eukaryota, Metazoa, Priapulida, Priapulimorpha, Priapulimorphida, Priapulidae. The record is from RefSeq and is a predicted model, not a curated record. The transcript has 2 exons.